GCUAGGAUAGCUCAGUAGGGAAAAGCAUGAGACUCUUAAUCUCAGGGUCGUGGGGUUCGAUUUUGGGCAAAAGAUUCCUGCAUUGCA
Podarcis lilfordi (Lilford's wall lizard) is the source of this 87-nucleotide non-coding RNA. Lineage: Eukaryota; Metazoa; Chordata; Lepidosauria; Squamata; Lacertidae. The record is from the annotation of a GenBank genome assembly.